UUGGUAGCAGCACCUGCGCGCUGGGGCCCCGCUGCUGCUCCUCCCUGCUCGAUGCACCUGCCCCGUCGCCCCCGCCUGCACGUCCGAGCUUUAAACUGGAGUAAGUUUCAUGUUCAACUGUUCGUGUGGAGGCAUGAGUAGUGCGACUAUUGCAGCAUUUAACCUAGCCUGCCGAGUGCUCUGCAGCGGCGGCAGCCUACUGAAAUCCAGUGCACUAAUGUGCUGUCAGCCGAUCAGCAUCAGAGCUGCUGCUGGCAAGAACAAGUACCCGCUAUUUUGUCUGCAGCUGUUGUUGCCUACCGGCGCUCCCAUUGUCUGCUUCCUCUGCUCGGCCGACAGUAUGUAUCGGCGUAGUAGGAAACAAUGGCUAGUUUAAUUAAACACGGAGUCAGUCGGAGCUACGUAGCCAAACACUGCUGGUUAAGCGAACCGUGACCGUGAGCAAAUAAAAGCACAGACAGCGCGGCGUAUUUGAAAAGGACGUGUCGAUCGAAUCACCUGAGACAAAGCUGCAGCGUGUCUCCGUCUCCGCGGCCGUCGUGGUGUUCAAAUCAUGGCGGAAAUCUGCUCCUCCCUCGGCGUCGGCGCUAGAAUCCCGCAAGCCCUGCAAGCCGGGAACAACAACGCGGACAAGAGGCGGCGACGACGCUACAGGUUAGAAAAGAAGAGGAGGGACAAGGCCACUGCCGGGCCGGCCUUCUCUGCAUGCUUAUCGUUUAGCGAGACGGUGAGGCUACUGCCUCUCGUUCUCGCUUUGUUUGGUGAAUCGAUAUGGCGGUAUGGUCCGUAUGGACAGUGAGAUGGGCUUGCAAAAUGAAGAACAGCAUGGCGACUACACACACAUAUGUUGCAGUACGUGUCGUAUCGUAUCUGCAUAUAUUCUACGUAUAUGAUUCAAUUUCAACAUGAGGAGCUAGUAGCCGGCGGCCGGUAUGCAUACCAUUGCCAUUUGUAUAGGAUGUAUGUAACACAGUAACACACUAACAAACACUUACCGCAAGAAGGCACUGAAGGUCCCCGCAGACGGUCGCCGGACGCCGAGAGGGAGGCGUCGUCGUCGCCGCCGCCAUCCGCUGCCGCUUGUUGCGACGGGCGCUCACUGGAGCGAUGGCGUCGUGCAGGUAGCCACUGGACGCCUCCGACGGCGAGCACUGCACACCUGCUGCAGCAAGCACGCGAAGCCGGCUUACAUACUUGAGCUCACUCCGCUACUAAUCUCCAUGAUGCCCUAGCUAGCUAGUAGCAGUAGUAGCAGGUCUAGCGGCGAGAGCAUGCCAGUCCCUCAGCUGAGCACUUACGCGUCUCCGGGAAGACGGCGGCAGCUCCAGCGCCUUCGAGAGUGUGGAACAGCAGCUCCGAGGCCCAGUCCCAGCAAUCCAGCGGAGGCAACACCCAACAGUCGUCGUAAGAGCAGGUAUCUAGGGCCAUGGCGUGUUGUUGUUGCCGCCGGGGCCAGGUGAGAUGGCUUGUUUGUCAUCUACAUCUACUGGGAGAGGCGUCGUGUCCUCUAGCCCUCUUAAAACAGGGAGAGAGGCUCGGCCCUUUUUCUUUUGGCGGAGCACCAAAAGCUGUGUCAAAUUGGCCGUGGCCGGGGCCGGGUAGAUGAAAUGUAAAAGGAGAGUUGUUGCUACUACGAAAUAACUCCAGUCCAGUGGCUUGCACUGCUACCUCUACGUACUAGCCCUGUUGAUGUUUUGUUCGUAUAUAUCCAUGUGUUGCAGCACACGGGGACAACAGCAGCAUGCAACACCAGUAGGCGCGCGGUAGCUUUAGCCCCCAUCAUCCCAUGUACUUGUUACUACAUGAAUCACCAGUAAUUGAUGGCCAAAGGACUAACAGUAUGUGCACAGCAGUGACAGCGGCAGUGGCAGUUGCAGAGAUUGCUCGGAUCACAGGGUGGUCUCCGGUACCAGAACAUCAUUGGUUUCAAAUGAAGAUUGUUAUAAAUAAAUGCGACACAAAUAGGAUCAAUCACAGAGAAAACACGGAUUUAACGUGGAAAAACCCCUCCAAAGUGAAGGGUAAAAAACCACGGGCGCUGGCCGGCAACUUCUCACUAUUUUCGGGUGGUUACAGAUCGCAGGAGAUUUACAAUUGAGAUGGAUAUAUCCUGCGGCUUGCAAAGAUAUUUAUAGAGGUGAAACCCUAAAACGAUCCGUGCCUCCCGGCGACGGGCCUCCGCUUCGCUCACCAACUUGGCCGCCUUCUUCAGAAUUUGGAUCACAAACUCAACAAAGAUGGCCAUAGCGCGGCUCGGGAAAGGGCGUUCUUGGUCCCGGCCUGCUGUGUUGUUGACACCACCUACUUGAAUUACCACAGUUACUAGUACAGGAUUCUGCCCAGAUGUAAAUGCUCACCUUUUGCAUGCCAAGCUGGAAUUUCGAGUGCUGCAGAUACUACUUGUAUUGUUCGCCCA
Molecule: long non-coding RNA, 2416 nt
Filed under: Zea mays
Lineage: Eukaryota; Viridiplantae; Streptophyta; Magnoliopsida; Poales; Poaceae
Description: long non-coding RNA (ZMAY_LNC003506)
Source: RNAcentral